AGCUUCGCAGUGACAACCUUGAUCGAAUG
RNAcentral lists this small RNA (29 nucleotides) under Bombyx mori (domestic silkworm). RNAcentral describes it as "ovarian small RNA-4548". Lineage: Eukaryota; Metazoa; Arthropoda; Insecta; Lepidoptera; Bombycidae. The record is from RNAcentral.